GACGAACGCUGGCGGCGUGCCUAAUACAUGCAAGUCGAACGCACUCUCGUUUAGAUUGAAGGAGCUUGCUCCUGAUUGAUAAACAUUUGAGUGAGUGGCGGACGGGUGAGUAACACGUGGGUAACCUGCCCUAAAGUGGGGGAUAACAUUUGGAAACAGAUGCUAAUACCGCAUAAAACCUAACACCGCAUGGUGUAGGGUUGAAAGAUGGUUUCGGCUAUCACUUUAGGAUGGACCCGCGGUGCAUUAGUUAGUUGGUGAGGUAAAGGCUCACCAAGACCGUGAUGCAUAGCCGACCUGAGAGGGUAAUCGGCCACACUGGGACUGAGACACGGCCCAGACUCCUACGGGAGGCAGCAGUAGGGAAUCUUCCACAAUGGACGAAAGUCUGAUGGAGCAACGCCGCGUGAGUGAAGAAGGUUUUCGGAUCGUAAAACUCUAGUUGUUGGAGAAGGAAUGUAUCUGAUAGUAACUGAUCAGGUAGUGACGGUAUCCAACCAGAGAG
RNAcentral lists this ribosomal RNA (505 nucleotides) under uncultured bacterium. RNAcentral describes it as "bacterial SSU rRNA". It matches the Rfam family "Bacterial small subunit ribosomal RNA", at positions 28 to 490 of the family's 1533-position model. The record is from RNAcentral.